GUGCAGCAGUCGAGAAUCCUCCACAAUACACGAAAGUGUGACGGGGCCAUCCCGAGUGCCGUCCGCUGAGGACGGCUUUUCCCCAGUGUACAUAGCUGGGGGAAUAAGGAGAGGGCAAGCCUGGUGUCAGCCGCCGCGGUAAUACCAGCUCUCCGAGUGGUGGGGACGCUUAUUGGGCCUAAAGCAUCCGUAGCCGGCUGGGCAAGUCCUCCGUUAAAUCCAACGAUUCAAUCGUUGGGCUGCGGGGGAUACUGUCCAGCUUGGGGGCGGGAGAGGCCGACGGUAUUCCCGGGGUAGGGUGAAAAUCCGUAUAAGUCCCGGGAGGACCACCAGUGGCGAAGGCUGUCGGCUAGAACGCGCCGACGGUGAGGGAUGAAAGCUAGGGGAGCGAACCGGGAUUAGAUACCCGUGUA
This 413-nucleotide ribosomal RNA is filed under the name uncultured microorganism. RNAcentral describes it as "bacterial SSU rRNA". It matches the Rfam family "Archaeal small subunit ribosomal RNA", at positions 330 to 743 of the family's 1478-position model. The record is from RNAcentral.